AUUGAACGCUGGCGGCAGGCCUAACACAUGCAAGUCGAACGAGUGGCGGACGGGUGAGUAAUGUCUGGGAAACUGCCCGAUGGAGGGGGAUAACUACUGGAAACGGUAGCUAAUACCGCAUACCAUCGGAUGUGCCCAGAUGGGAUGAGCUAGUAGGUGGGGUAACGGCCCACCUAGGCGACGAUCCCUAGCUGGUCUGAGAGGAUGACCAGCAACACUGGAACGGAGACACGGUCCAGAAUCGUACGGGAGGCAGCAGUGGGGAAUAUUGGAGAAUGGGCGCAAGCCUGAUGCAGCCAUGCCGCGUGUAUGAAGAAGGCCUUCGGGGUGUAAAGUACUUUCAGCGAGGAGGCGUUACUCGCAGAAGAAGCACCGGCUAACUCCGUGCCAGCAGCCGCGGUAAUAC
RNAcentral lists this ribosomal RNA (406 nucleotides) under uncultured bacterium. Its description in RNAcentral is "partial 16S ribosomal RNA". It matches the Rfam family "Bacterial small subunit ribosomal RNA", at positions 29 to 526 of the family's 1533-position model. The record is from RNAcentral.